Molecule: unclassified non-coding RNA, 291 nt
Filed under: Hevea brasiliensis (rubber tree)
Lineage: Eukaryota; Viridiplantae; Streptophyta; Magnoliopsida; Malpighiales; Euphorbiaceae
Source: RNAcentral
CGCACUCCUCUCCUCUCCUCUGCUCCUCGGACCCAAUCUCCUUCUCUCCCUCAGGCAAGUAUCUCUAACGCUCCAAAAUCCUCGCCAUCGUCACCUCUCGUGUGCACAAACCAAUCAAAUUCCUCAAAUUCACAAUCGACGAUUGUGUUAGCUGCUUUCUCUGGUUCAACAAACGCAUCUUCCCUUACUUCUCUCGCCGAAGGCCUACAGAUGUUCGAUUAAUUGCGGACAUGGCCACUUAUUCCGAAAUCAAUAUUGGGGGUUAGUGUUCAGGGUGCGCGGGGGGAUCAC